Molecule: long non-coding RNA, 1424 nt
Filed under: Sus scrofa (pig)
Lineage: Eukaryota; Metazoa; Chordata; Mammalia; Artiodactyla; Suidae
Description: lncRNA (ENSSSCG00005038006.1)
Source: RNAcentral
CAACAGCUGCGCCUAAUUUAAAGCAACAAAACUUCAAAGAAAGGAAAGAACAUCUUCUGGAAACAUCAGGAUGAUCUGACUCCAGGCACUGACACCAUCAUCCAUCAGAAGUCAUGACCUGUGAUUUGAGGUCUUUUGCAAGCACAAGCAAAGCUGAAGUAUACCUGUCCAUACAUCUUUGUGCACAUGUGACUAUGACUACAGGAUAAAUUCCUAGAAAAGAAAUUGCUGAAUUAAAAGACACAUUUAUCUCAAAUAUUGAAUGUUAUUAGUGAUUGAUCUCCCACCAGCAGUGAAAGAGAGUACGUUUCCUCCUACUUUAAUUGUAUGUUAUACUUUUUGACUAAGCUCAUCUGAGAAAUAGAACAAUGUAUCUGCUUCUAGGUUUGAUUUGUAUUUCUUUUACUCAUAUGUUUUAUAUUUUAUAUAUUUUAAAAGUUUUCUUUAUGUAAAUACUAUGUAUUUAUCUAUAUAUUUUAUUUAUAUUUCUUUUUCUAUGAACUACUUGUUCAUGUUUCUUUGCCUGAGAUUCUUUUCUUACUGAUAUUUAAGCUCUCUUUAUUUUUUUUUAGAUUAACUUUCAUGUCAUAGACACUGUGCAAUUUCCCAGUUUGUCAUUUAUCUUUUGACUUGGUUUAGAGCAGGGAGAGGCAACACUGGUGGUGGGUACUUGCCUUAAAUUUAUAUAAUCAAAGGGUUCAUUCAUACAGCUUUCCCCAAACCAAAAAGCAGUCUGUCCCAAAGGUAAAUUCAGCUUCCUGCUUCUUGCACAGUUGCUUUAGAAAGACAGGGGUUUUGUUUGCCCUGUAUUUUGCACCUAAAAAAAAGUGCCUUGAACUGAGGAUCACGAUGCCACCUUUCAUCUAAUGUCAACUAAGAACAGAUGGACAAGGAGAUUUGUAUCUUUCUAAUCUGAGCAGACUGCACAGAAGAUAAAGAAUAACCAGGCCUUUCUGUAAGGGGCUAUCUUUGAAAUGUAUUCAUUAUUAACAAUAAUUUAUUUGAAUGAAAUUAAUAUAAGGAAAGUCGAGCUCCUCUGACUCAACAGUUUUUCCCAUCCAACUCUUACUACAGUGUUGAGCUAAUUAAAAAAAUACAGAAUAUAUGAAUAAACCUAAUUACUUCCAGCAUCCCUUUCUUUAAAAGGUAAAAGAACUGCUUCUGGUGGUUGUCCAGUGACCCUCAGGGAAGCCUCAAAGAUAAUUUAAGGGUAAAAGACCUCAUGAAGUUUUUAUAUUUUUCUGAAUUUAGGAGUUGAUCUUAGGAAGGCAAAAUCAGAGAGUCUAUAAGAGGAGACUGAUCACUUGAUUAAUGCAGAUGCCUGAAGACAGUGCAUGAUUGUAGCUUGACUAUCAAUUUAGAGUGACAGUACAAUAUUUUAAAAUAAAAUGCCCAAAUGUGACAUAAUUAAACCUUGGCUAUUU